AAUACACUUGUUACUGUGUUUAUAACUAUGUUUAUUCAUCUAUUACUAUGUCUUUUAGAACCAAAUUUUAGGAUAUACUUUAGGAUAGAUUUAGGAUAUAGUUUAGGAAGCACCUUAUAGGGUUGUUGUUAUUUCAUACUGUUUGAGUACACACUUCAUAUGAUCAUAGAAUAGUUAGGGUUAGAAUAGGAUAGUUAGGGUUGGAAAGGACUUCCAGUAACUUCAUGGUAUGUCACAAGACUACUCUUUGACUGGCUCUUUAGCUUUGGUAGUAAAAAAGCAGAAAGAAUUACAACAGUCAUAUCUCUUUGCCUUGCCAUCUGCAUCCUGCAGAAUGGAAAAUAAGAAAGAAAGUAUUCUGAAAGAGUCUUUGGAUUAGGAAAGAAAUGACAGAAAGAUAUUUGUGAAUGCAGAAGAACUACUGCUACACCUUGAAAAAGAUUCAGAUAAGCUCCAGAAGAGUACUGCUUGCUGUUGGAAUACAGCUGCAUAUCUUAGACACCUGUUAAGGUCCAGAAGUAAAGAGAAACUUGUUUCUAAAAGAAAAUGCAGGCAGGCAACAGAAAGGAGCACUGAAUUGCACCACUGUGUUUUCAUUGACAACUGCUCAUGGUGGGCAGAGAGAUGCUGAAACAGAAACAAAAGAAACAACAAGGAAACAAAAUUGAAAAAAAUCUAA
Molecule: long non-coding RNA, 679 nt
Organism: Pezoporus occidentalis (night parrot)
Lineage: Eukaryota; Metazoa; Chordata; Aves; Psittaciformes; Psittacidae
Exons: 2
Source: RefSeq, a predicted model, not a curated record